RNAcentral lists this long non-coding RNA (304 nucleotides) under Physcomitrium patens. Its description in RNAcentral is "long non-coding RNA (PPAT_LNC010971)". The record is from RNAcentral. Lineage: Eukaryota; Viridiplantae; Streptophyta; Bryopsida; Funariales; Funariaceae.
UAAUCCAAUUGAUAGAUUAUAAGAAAUCUUAAAAACCCUCAUUGGAUCUAAAAUUCUACUUUCUGAAAUCCCGACCUACUUAAACCUCAAUAACCCUUGAUUCAACCAUUAUAUCAAACUAAAAUUCUCAAUACAUAUUAAGCACAACUAUAACCAUUUAUCCACAAACUUUCACCUAUAGAUCUAUUACAAAAUUCUUGAAAUUUUCCAAAUGUUAACAUUCUUUUAUUUUACAAAAACCUGAGUCAUCUAAAAAAAUCUUCACUUUAUAAAGCUCUUAUAAAGUUAUUACUAAUCCAAAUCA